GGAUGAAUGGCUGAGUGGUUUAAAGCACCAAUUUUGAAAAUUGGCAUAAGGUAUAUUAUCGUAGGUUCAAAUCCUACUUCAUCUA
Molecule: transfer RNA, 85 nt
Filed under: Rhodymenia pseudopalmata
Lineage: Eukaryota; Rhodophyta; Florideophyceae; Rhodymeniales; Rhodymeniaceae
Description: tRNA-Ser
Rfam family: tRNA
About the family: Transfer RNA (tRNA) molecules are approximately 80 nucleotides in length. Their secondary structure includes four short double-helical elements and three loops (D, anti-codon, and T loops).
Source: RNAcentral